UCCUCAGCAACAAUGAGCAUUCCAUAAUCCUCAUACCUUUACUUGCAAAUACUGGUGGUGGUUACUUAACUCAAUUCUACUUUACUCAGUUUCUUGCUCUAUACUGGACCCCAAGAAUUACCUCAACUCGCACAGCCGGCACCUUAAAUAAUGGGUCCAAGCAGUGGUAAAUUAUCCCAUGUCCUCACUGCCCUUUCUUCAGUCUCAUACGAUCACAAAAUCACUCAACUGUUAUUAAUCACUUAUCACUUCUCAAUCAUUAUCAAUAGUCAUCAUCAAUCCUCAUCAUCAAUCGUACCAAUCGACUCAUGGCCAACUCGGGCCUUCGACUCAUGGCCAACUCGGGCCUUCCACUCGUACAACAACUUGACCUGACUCGACUUCAGUCGUUCAAAACAAUUAAAAGGUGCUAGGCCUUCUUGAUGCCCCUUUCCAGCUAAGGACUGCCCUGUAGAUCUUCAGAUCUAAAGACGGUCAAGUGAUGCCAUUCGGCUAAGUGAAGAUGAUCCAGCUAAGCUUCCAGUAACCUUAUUUUUGGGGGUAGGCUUCGCCCUCAUUCAGUGAAGACGAUCCAGCUAAGCUUCCAAUGGGUAACUUAUUUUUGGGGGUAGGCUUCGCCCCUGCUUCUCGUUCCGGCAGGAUUUGCCAGGGUCCGCACACUCGGUGACCUGGACCUAGGACGGGGCCUACGCCAAAGACUCUCAUUGUUGCUAAUUUCUAUUCUGAUUAAAAUCUUUGUUAACUUCAGUUAUGUCUCUGAGUAUUCCUGGCUGAAAUGUAGCGCCUGCGUAGCUGCAGCGUAGUUCUGCCGGGUAUACUUAAUACGUCAUUCAUUCAUUACCUUCGACCAAUCACCAGGCUACAUUGGCUUUAUUAAUGACUCUGCCCAGGCACCUGCCUUGUUGCUUUCAGGUGCCGAUUUUCGAUGUUCCCACCCUCCCUCCCUAAUCACCACCAGGUUGGUCCUCGUCCAGUU
Sardina pilchardus (European sardine) is the source of this 976-nucleotide long non-coding RNA. RefSeq lists it as uncharacterized. The transcript has 3 exons. NCBI's taxonomy places the organism in Eukaryota, Metazoa, Chordata, Actinopteri, Clupeiformes, Clupeidae. The record is from RefSeq and is a predicted model, not a curated record.